GUCCAGGACCUUCAGUAGAAUGUUGAACAAAUUGGAUAAACUGAUGGAAAGUUGAGAGCCUGAGACUCAGAAGGCAACUUCUGCAGGUGACUCCUGCUGCUGGGAACUGGAAGGAGAGCAGUGCACUGGAGCACUGGAGCAAGCACAAUGGACUCUGGCUUCACCUCCAAGGACACGUACCUGAGCCACUUUAACCCACGGGAUUAUCUAGAAAAAUAUUACAACUUUGGGUCCAAACAAUCAGCAGAAAAUAAGAUUCUUAGACAUGUUCUGCAAAGCCUUUUCAGGAUAUUCUGUGUAGAUGGCGUGAAGGGAGACCUCCUGAUUGACAUUGGCUCUGGACCCACCAUCUAUCAGCUCCUCUCUGCUUGUGAGUCCUUCAAGGAGAUCAUCGCCUCUGACUACACUGACCAGAACCUGAAAGAGCUGGAGAAAUGGCUGAAGAAGGAGCCAGGGGCCUUUGACUGGACCCAGUAGUGAACUACGUGUGUGAGCUCGAAGGGAGCAGAGUGAAGGGCCCGGAGAAAGAGGAGAAACUGAGGCGGAUGGUCAAGCAGGUUCUCAAGUGUGAUGUAACCCAGACCCGGCCUCUGGGUGCGGCCCGCCUGGCGCUGGCUGACUGCCUGCUCAGCACACUGUGCCUAGACGCCGCCUGCCCCGACCUCCCCACCUACCACAAAGCCCUCAGGAACCUGAGUAGCCUCCUGAAACCAGGGGGCUCCCUGGUGCUUGUGGAUGCCCUAAAGAGCAGCUACUACAUGAUUGGGGAGCAGAAGUUCUCCAGUCUCUCUCUGGACCAAGAGGUCAUCAAGGAGGCCGUGACCAAGGCUGGCUUCACCAUCGAACAAUUUGAAGUGAUCACUCAAAAUUAUUCUUCUGCCAACAAUGAGGGACUUUUCUGCCUGGUGGGGCGGAAGCUGAGCUGAUCUGUGGGGCACCUCAGGGGUACAAUUAAA
Long non-coding RNA from Talpa occidentalis (Iberian mole), 956 nucleotides. RefSeq lists it as uncharacterized. The record is from RefSeq and is a predicted model, not a curated record. Lineage: Eukaryota; Metazoa; Chordata; Mammalia; Eulipotyphla; Talpidae. The transcript has 4 exons.